This 490-nucleotide ribosomal RNA is filed under the name uncultured bacterium. Its description in RNAcentral is "partial 16S ribosomal RNA". It matches the Rfam family "Bacterial small subunit ribosomal RNA", at positions 30 to 507 of the family's 1533-position model. The record is from RNAcentral.
AUUGAACGCUGGCGGCAGGCCUAACACAUGCAAGUCGAACGGUAACAGGAAGAAGCUUGCUUCUUUGCUGACGAGUGGCGGACGGGUGAGUAAUGUCUGGGAAACUGCCUGAUGGAGGGGGAUAACUACUGGAAACGGUAGCUAAUACCGCAUAACGUCGCAAGACCAAAGAGGGGGACCUUCGGGCCUCUUGCCAUCGGAUGUGCCCAGAUGGGAUUAGCUAGUAGGUGGGGUAACGGCUCACCUAGGCGACGAUCCCUAGCUGGUCUGAGAGGAUGACCAGCCACACUGGAACUGAGACACGGUCCAGACUCCUACGGGAGGCUGCAGUGGGGAAUAUUGCACAAUGGGCGCAAGCCUGAUGCAGCCAUGCCGCGUGUAUGAAGAAGGCCUUCGGGUUGUAAAGUACUUUCAGCGGGGAGGAAGGGAGUAAAGUUAAUACCUUUGCUCAUUGACGUUACCCGCAGAAGAAGCACCGGCUAACUCCGUG